CCAGAAUGUGACCACUGGGAAUCUUCCCAGUAAAAUAUUAACCAACUCUGUCCUUAUUGAAUCAAAACAAUGAAUAACAAAAGAGGACUUUGACUCCAAUCUGAAGCCAUAAAACAAACUGGAUGAGGCAUGAUAAUUCAACAGGAAAGAGAUUACUGACCCUUCAUAGACUGGCAGCUCUUUAAAUUAAGAUGACUCCUAAGAGAAAAGGAUGGAACGUGGCAAAGUUCACGAGAAGGAGCAAACAGUAUUUGAAGACCUCUUUGAAAAGUCUCCCCAGGAGCAGGAAGAUAGGCGCCCGCUGUACCAGUCAAAGACACCACCCUACUGUGAUGUUAAUAAGAUGAAGGGUACUAGUACAAAAAGCCACAGUAAUUAUAGGAAGAGAACUCCAUCCCAUUGCCUUCCUGAGAUGCUGGACCACUGUGGGCAGCUGCCCUUGGAAGAAGCAUGCCACUGUCUCCUUCAAACCCCUCAAAGUCUCAGCUUCUCUCAUACUUUUGGAAAUUCUCAAGAUUGAAUAGAGUGAGGUUCUUCUUCAGUAUCAUUAGUUCUUUCUACACCACAGAAGAAAUUCUAAUCUGAACAUAAACAUAUUUUGGAUUAAUAAAUUCUUCUAAAAGUAUCUGUAUUAUCUGUUUUCAUGCUGCUGAUAAAGACAUACCCGAGACUGGGAAGAAAAAGAGGUUUAAUUGGACUUACAGUUCCACAUGGCUGGGGAGGCCUCAGAAUCAUGGCAGAGGGUGAAAGGCAUUUCUUACAUGGCAGCAGCAAGAGAAAAUAAGGAUGCAGAAGUGGAAAGCCCUGAUAAAACCAUCAGAUCACGUGAG
RNAcentral lists this long non-coding RNA (830 nucleotides) under Macaca mulatta (Rhesus monkey). RNAcentral's name for it is "lncRNA (ENSMMUG00000039594.2)". Lineage: Eukaryota; Metazoa; Chordata; Mammalia; Primates; Cercopithecidae. The record is from RNAcentral.